RNAcentral lists this ribosomal RNA (484 nucleotides) under uncultured bacterium. Its description in RNAcentral is "partial 16S ribosomal RNA". It matches the Rfam family "Bacterial small subunit ribosomal RNA", at positions 30 to 507 of the family's 1533-position model. The record is from RNAcentral.
AUUGAACGCUGGCGGCAGGCCUAACACAUGCAAGUCGAGCGGAUGAAGGGAGCUUGCUCCUGGAUUCAGCGGCGGACGGGUGAGUAAUGCCUAGGAAGCUGCCUGGUAGUGGGGGAUAACGUCCGGAAACGGGCGCUAAUACCGCAUACGUCCUGAUGGAGAAAGGGGUGGAUCUUCGGACCUCACGCUAUCAGAUGAGCCUAGGUCGGAUUAGCUAGUUGGUGGGGUAAAGGCCUACCAAGGCGACGAUCCGUAACUGGUCUGAGAGGAUGAUCAGUCACACUGGAACUGAGACACGGUCCAGACUCCUACGGGAGGCAGCAGUGGGGAAUAUUCGACAAUGGGCGAAAGCCUGAUCCAGCCAUGCCGCGUGUGUGAAGAAGGUCUUCGGAUUGUAAAGCACUUUAAGUUGGGAGGAAGGGAAGUAAGUUAAUACCUUGCUGUUUUGACGUUACCAACAGAAUAAGCACCGGCUAACUUCGUG